CUAAACCUAAUGAAAUGAUGCAAUUCGAUAGGGCGAGACUUUCAUUUCACCUAAACCACUUAAGAGAACUUUAAACUAAAUGUCCCCAAACUAAAAUAUAAUAACUUGCUAAUGAUUUAGGGCUCCUAAUUAGUCUAGACAUCUCUUAAUUCUAGCAAACUUAUUCUUAAAUCCCAUCACUCUUCUCUCUCUAAAACUCAUCCUAAAUUGCAAAAAUUCACUCAAAUCCAUUUCAAAUAUGC
Molecule: long non-coding RNA, 242 nt
Filed under: Gossypium raimondii (Peruvian cotton)
Lineage: Eukaryota; Viridiplantae; Streptophyta; Magnoliopsida; Malvales; Malvaceae
Description: long non-coding RNA (GRAI_LNC008121)
Source: RNAcentral